GAGGAAUAUUGGGCAAUGCCCGCAAGGGUGACCCAGCAACGCCGCGUGGAGGAUGAAUGUCGUAAGAUUGUAAACUCCUGUUAGAGGGGAAGAAUAGUACCGGUUGGACCGGUAUAUGACUGUACCCUCAGAGAAAGCCCCGGCUAACUACGUGCCAGCAGCCGCGGUAAUACGUAGGGGGCAAGCGUUGUCCGGAUUUACUGGGUGUAAAGGGCGCGCAGGCGGGAUAAAAAGUCAGUGGUGAAAUCCUACAGCUUAACUGUAGAACUGCCUUUGAUACUUUUAUUCUUGAGUUCGGGAGAGAGAGACGGAAUUCCAGGUGUAGUGGUGAAAUACGUAGAUAUCAGGAAGAACACCAGUUGCGAAGGCGGUCUCUUGGUCCGACACUGACGCUGAGGCGCGAAAGCGUGGGGAGCAAACA
Molecule: ribosomal RNA, 421 nt
Filed under: uncultured bacterium
Lineage: Bacteria
Description: bacterial SSU rRNA
Rfam family: Bacterial small subunit ribosomal RNA
Source: RNAcentral